RNAcentral lists this ribosomal RNA (372 nucleotides) under uncultured organism. Its description in RNAcentral is "partial 16S ribosomal RNA". It matches the Rfam family "Bacterial small subunit ribosomal RNA", at positions 527 to 896 of the family's 1533-position model. The record is from RNAcentral.
GAACCGUACGAACGUUAUUCGGAAUCACUGGGCUUAAAGGGUGCGUAGGCGGCCUAGUAAGUUGGGGUGUGAAAUCCCUCGGGCUCAACCGAGGAACUGCGCUCAAAACUGCUAGGCUUGAGGAAGACAGAGGUGAGCGGAACUCAGGGUGGAGCGGUGAAAUGCGUUGAUAUCCUGGGAACACCAGUAGCGAAAGCGGCUCACUGGGUCUUUUCUGACGCUCAGGCACGAAAGCUAGGGGAGCGAACGGGAUUAGAUACCCCGGUAGUCCUAGCUGUAAACGAUGAGCACUGGGUUGGAGGGUCCUCCAUAGCCUUCCAGCCGUAGCGAAAGUGUUAAGUGCUCCGCCUGGGGAGUAUGGUCGCAAGGCUG